CCUACGGGAGGCAGCAGUGAGGAAUAUUGGUCAAUGGCCGGAAGGCUGAACCAGCCAUGCCGCGUGAAGGUCAGUGCCCUAUGGGCGUUAAACUUCUUUUGUGCGGGAGCAAUAAUGGUCACGUUUGGCCCGACUAGAGUACCGUUCGAAUAAGCAUCGGCUAACUCCGUGCCAGCAGCCGCGGUAAUACGGGGGAUGCAAGCGUUAUCCGGAUUUAUUGGUUUUAAAGGGUGCGUAGGCUGUGAGGUAAGUCAGCGGUGAAAUGCCCCCGCUCAACGGGGUGAAGUGCCAUUGAUACUGCGUGGCUGGAAUGCGGAUGCGGUGGGAGGAAUGUGUGGUGUAGCGGUGAAAUGCAUAGAUAUCACACAGAACACCGAUUGCGAAGGCAUCUCACGAAGCCGCGAUUGACGCUGAUGCACGAAAGCGUGGGUAUCAAACAGGAUUAGAUACCCGGGUAGUC
This 460-nucleotide ribosomal RNA is filed under the name uncultured bacterium. RNAcentral describes it as "partial 16S ribosomal RNA". It matches the Rfam family "Bacterial small subunit ribosomal RNA", at positions 338 to 795 of the family's 1533-position model. The record is from RNAcentral.